Long non-coding RNA from Cydia pomonella (codling moth), 680 nucleotides. RefSeq lists it as uncharacterized. The transcript is spliced from 2 exons. The record is from RefSeq and is a predicted model, not a curated record. Lineage: Eukaryota; Metazoa; Arthropoda; Insecta; Lepidoptera; Tortricidae.
AUGGAGGAUCGAUCGUCCCGUUUCAAAUAGGGAGCAUGAAAUAUUAUUAGUACCAGCUGUUAACCUGAUCGGCUUCUCGUCUUAUGUUUCGGGGCCCACUCCAAUUUGCCAAAUAGUUUGGGAAAUACUGCUCAAAUAGUUAAGCUCCUUAUGCAGGUUACGUAAAACUACCCAACUAUGGUCCAAUACUGCAACUAUAGUCCCCAAGUUCAAAAGGAAAUCCUCCUAGUUUUACCUUCCAUUUAUAAACAUACUUUGCCGUAGAACUACAAAAAUAUAGUAAAAUACACACCUGAACGAGAAAAAUUGAGUUUAUUUGUGGACCAUAGUUGGGAGCUUUGGACUAUAGUUGGGUGGUUUUACGGUACUUUUUUUCUAGGAAUAUAUCACUUUUUUCCCGGGAAUAUAUUACAAUAGAAUCCGCAUAUAAUGGCGUCGAAGGAAAGUGACAAAUACAUCAUACUAAGCGGAUGGCAUUUAAACCGUAUUUGUUAAACUUCUUAACUAUGUAUGUAUGUAUGUUAACACUUUAUUGUACAUAAGGGACAGGUAAAGAUACAAUAAAAGGAAAAAAAUAAUAAUGUUGUCAAUGUACAAAGGCGAACUUAUCCCUAUAAGGGAUCUCUUCCAGUCAACCUUUGAGCAAUUGAGAGUCAAAAGUAAAACAUAAACACUAUGUA